AUCAGAAAAGCAUCUCUCUCUCUCUUCUCCCUCUCCCACGCCACAUUUCUUCUUCUUCUUCCUCUCUGCAACAACCACAAAACUCACAAACGUGAAAAACAAAUUACACCAUCGUGAUCAUCUCAGUCCCACGAUCACAACCAUGUCCUUGAAAUCUAGUGUGGACGAGUUUUAACUCACCAACUCGGAAGGUCCGACUCGGCGAGUUCGAAACUACAGUUUUCAAGCCAUGCAUGGCUAAGAAACUCGAGAAGAAGGAGAACCCGAAGUUUUUCGUACAAGAACCGUGGCCAUUUAGUCACUUUCAAACCAUUUUUUUGGUCAACCUCGACCACAACUGGACUUCUUCUAGAUUUUCGCGAAGAAGGCAAGUACAGUGUACUCGCGGGGGCGCGUGGGCGCGCGUGGACCGCCACUUUGGG
Non-coding RNA from Malus domestica (apple), 422 nucleotides. Lineage: Eukaryota; Viridiplantae; Streptophyta; Magnoliopsida; Rosales; Rosaceae. The record is from RefSeq and is a predicted model, not a curated record.